AGAACUACUCCACCAUCAUCUGAUGUGGUUCUGAUGGCUGUGUGUUUCUCAGCUUUAUCCUCAGCCUGUGGGUAAUUUAAAAUAAAUACUUUUGCAAGUGAACCAAUAGAAAUAUUUCACUGUCAUUGGGCAGAAAGCUAAAAACCUAAUUACGGUAUGUAUUGAACAAUUUUUGUGUUAGUUUCUUCACUCUUUCCAUAUCUUUGUUCACUUUAUUUAACAUCCACCAUUUCUCCCCUCACAUAGUCAUACACUGGCAUUUUUUUCUUCAUUUCAUUGAAGAAAAUGAUACUCUGUUACACAAAUCUGCUCCCUAUUUCUUUUGAAACUGUAUUCAGUCAGUCCCCAUAGAAAGAAUAGGUAAUGAAAUUCUAUCUCUCAAGUGUAUGUAGACAUAUCAAUCACUUUAAGUGGAAACAAUCAUUCCUCUGCCAUUUGGAGCCAACAUCUUUGAACAAAGCAGCAGCACCAUUGCUUUCUGUUGCUAAAAAUAGUUUUUCCAUAAAAUGCUAAGGUUUACCUUCCAACCACAUGCCACAGAGGUCAAGAAAAGCAGAUUUCCUGAUAACAUUUGAUUUGAGCAAAGGGAGUGAUAAAAGAUGCGUUCUGUAAUCUGGAUUCAAAGCCGACUGAAGACGUGGAGUCCAGUGAAGAUAAUCGAGCAGACCUGUGCUGUCACCCUGCUACCAUUCCAUGAUCUCUGCCCUGGGAAGAGGAAGUAAGUAUGGUUGGAAGAGGUGGAGUCUGGUGCUGCCAGAGCAGAAAGCACAAAGAAGAACGUGCUUUUAGGUGGGUGCCCUAAGAGACAUGAUAAGUGAAAAAGGCCUAGAUGCCCCAAAUUGCAAAAGUAAUGAAAAAGACCCAGUGAUAAUAAUGCGAUUGGAAAGGAAGACACUGAUUUCUCACAUGACUGUGGCAAACUGUGAAGAGUGAAAAUUCCAGAAGACUUAAAUUGUCUAUAGUUUUGGCAUCUCUCCCUCUAUGUACUUGCUAUCUUUUUUUUGCUUUUAAGUCUGCUUAGUUACAACUGCAGACCACAGUAAAAUUAUAGAUUUGGAGAUGUUGGAAUGUUUCCUCAAAGAUAAAAGCCAAUUAAAAAAAUUUUAACAAAGAACAGAAGAAGCAAUCAAGAGUUUGUAACAAAUUAUUAGGAUUAAUA
RNAcentral lists this long non-coding RNA (1159 nucleotides) under Homo sapiens (human). RNAcentral describes it as "HSALNT0208609". Lineage: Eukaryota; Metazoa; Chordata; Mammalia; Primates; Hominidae. The record is from RNAcentral.